Molecule: ribosomal RNA, 58 nt
Filed under: Phthinomita heinigerae
Lineage: Eukaryota; Metazoa; Platyhelminthes; Trematoda; Strigeidida; Aporocotylidae
Description: partial 28S ribosomal RNA
Rfam family: Eukaryotic large subunit ribosomal RNA
Source: RNAcentral
CUAACCUCGAAUCAAGCAUGAAUACCCGCUGAACUUAAGCAUAUCACUAAGCGGAGGA